Molecule: ribosomal RNA, 468 nt
Filed under: uncultured bacterium
Lineage: Bacteria
Description: partial 16S ribosomal RNA
Rfam family: Bacterial small subunit ribosomal RNA
Source: RNAcentral
GACGAACGCUGGCGGCGUGCUUAACACAUGCAAGUCGAACGGAAAGGCCCUGCUUUUGUGGGGUGCUCGAGUGGCGAACGGGUGAGUAACACGUGAGUAACCUGCCCUUGACUUUGGGAUAACUUCAGGAAACUGGGGCUAAUACCGGAUAGGAGCUCCUGCUGCAUGGUGGGGGUUGGAAAGUUUCGGCGGAUGGGGAUGGACUCGCGGCUUAUCAGCUUGUUGGUGGGGUAGUGGCUUACCAAGGCAUUGACGGGUAGCCGGCCCGAGAGGGUGACCGGCGACAUUGGGACUAAGGUACGGACCAGACUCCUACGGGAGGCAGCAGUGGGGAAUAUUGCACAAUGGGCGGAAGCCUGAUGCAGCGACGCCGCGUGCGGGAUGACGGCCUUCGGGUUGUAAACCGCUUUCGCCUGUGACGAAGCGUGAGUGACGGUAAUGGGUAAAGAAGCACCGGCUAACUACGUG